RNAcentral lists this ribosomal RNA (404 nucleotides) under uncultured bacterium. Its description in RNAcentral is "bacterial SSU rRNA". It matches the Rfam family "Bacterial small subunit ribosomal RNA", at positions 355 to 776 of the family's 1533-position model. The record is from RNAcentral.
UGAGGAAUCUUUCACAAUGGGCGAAAGCCUGAUGGAGCGACACCGCGUGGAGGAUGAAGGGUUUAUUCUUGUAAACUCCUUUUUUGUGGGAAGAUAAUGACGGUACCACAAGAAUAAGGGACGGCAAACUACGUGCCAGCAGCCGCGGUGAUACGUAGGUCCCAAGCGUUAUCCGGAAUUACUGGGCGUAAAGCGUGCGCAGGCGGUUAUAUAAGACAGAUGUGAAAUCCCCGGGCUCAACCUGGGACCUGCAUUUGUGACUGUAUAGCUAGAGUACGGUAGAGGGGGAUGGAAUUCCGCGUGUAGCAGUGAAAUGCGUAGAUAUCGUGAGGAACACCAGAGGCGAAGGCGGCUACCUGGACAAUUGCUGACGCUCAGGCACGAAAGCGUGGGGAGCAAAAGGG